Molecule: long non-coding RNA, 5510 nt
Organism: Candoia aspera
Lineage: Eukaryota; Metazoa; Chordata; Lepidosauria; Squamata; Candoiidae
Exons: 2
Source: RefSeq, a predicted model, not a curated record
AUGCAGCUGAGUAGUAUUGCAGCAUUUAUAAUGCCAGCAUUAAAAUACAUAGGUUUGGAUUAACAAUUACAAAUGUUUUUGGGAGGGAACUGUGAUCCAAAAGAGACUUCCCACUUUGGGGAAAGGAUAGGGCAGUGAUUUAUCCUGAAAACUUUCUUGGAACUUUAAUGCCGGUUCCUAUGUUCUACAAACUUCUGUUUUGUUCAGAGAUAGCACUCUUCAUUGCAAAACAAACAGGGAAUGGAGAAAAUUGUCACUCCUCCCUCUUUUUGUACAGCAAGGAUUUUCUAAAUGCAAUGCUGUAUUCAAACCAUUCAUUGUGUGCGUGUGUGCGUGCGUGUGUGUGUGUGUUUAUUUUUAUAGAGCUUUCCCAUAUUUGAGUAAUAUUAACAGCAACGCAGUGACAAAUGAGGAAGAAAGGCAGUAGAAGCAGAGCCAAUAAUCUUCAGACCUAGGAUUUCCUAGUGGUCUUCUACCCAUAUAUUAGCUGGAUCUGACCUCAUUUAGUUUUCUCAAGAGUCUUCAAGAUCAGCUUCAUUCUGCCAUAUGUUAUAAUGGGCCUGAAUAAGUAUGAUUAAGUCUAGUUUAUUGUCCAGUAUAAAUUUAUCAAUCUAUAUACAGUACAAAUCUGUAUAUUGUCCACAUCAAUUGAUAGUUUGUAAAAUUUAGGCCUGACCCUGAGUUUUCCAAUAUAAGCACAAAAUCAGUCAGAGUUCCUGGGCAGCAUGACAGAGAAUGAGAAAGACGUUGCCCUUGUCAAUGUUAUCAGUCAACAUUAAUUGUUCCUUCCCAAUAUUCAUUUGCAGAACUCUUGCUCAUAAUAUUAUUUAUACAUUCUUUUUAUUGAAUACACUACCCCAUUGACACCUUCUGAACAGUAAAUUAGCUCUGUUUGAUCUGAUUGCAUACUUUUGCUCUAUUUCAAUAGGUAAAGGUAAAGGUUUCCCUUGACAUUAAGUCCAGUCAUGUCUGACUCUAGGGGGCGGUGCUCAUCUCCGUUUCAAAGCCGAAGAGCCAGCGUUUGUCCGUAGACACUUCCGUGGUCAUGUGGCUGGCAUGACUACACGGAACGCCGUUACCUGCCCGCCGAAGCGGUACCUAUUAAUCUACUCACAUUUGCAUGUUUUCGAACUUCUAGGUUGGCAGGAGCUGGGACUAGCAACAGGAGCUUACCCCGUCGCGCGGAUUCGAACCGCCGACCUUCCAAUCGGCAAGCUCAGCAGCUCAGCGGUUUAACCCACAGCGCCACCAAGUCCCUAUUUCAAUACAUAAACUAAACACAAAAAACCCUGAACAGGAAACAAUAUAGAACAAUGGAAUUUUCCUAAAUUUCAAAAAAAGUACUAGUGCUAUUUCUUCUCAGUUUCAUGAUAUCCAAGUAAAGCAUCCAAAUGAGAACAAAAACACACCCUUGAAAAUAGCAAUUUGUUAAAAGUUGUGAACCCUGAUUGGGUUUGUUUGUUUUUUUGGAUCCACUUGACUGCAAAACUGUUUCUGGUACCUCUUGUUUCCCUUAAUAGUGAUGAAGCCAAUCAUAAAACUUAGGCAGUUUCAUCUGAGACUACAGGUAGUCCUCAAUUUACAAUAGCAGUUGGGACCAGAAUUUCCAUCGCUAAGAAAUGCGGUCAUAAAAUGCAACCACAUUGCUUAACAACAACAGUCCCUGCAAUCCCGGUUGCUAUUGUUAACUGAAUCCCACAGUUGUUAGGCAAGGCAACUUCCUGCUGGCUUGACACAACCAAAGUCAGUGGGGAAGCUGACAGGAAGUUGCAAGUCCCAGGCUGGCAGGCAUGUAAGUGGGUGGUGCCAGAUGGAGGAAGGUGUGAGGGGGUGCAUGAAAGGCACAAUCAGGGAGGGUAUGAGGGGUGCAUGAGUGGCCAACAUGGCGCAAGCACAGAAGGGCUGGGGGAGGGUGUGCAGGUGUGGGAGACUUACCCCAGCGACUUGUGACCUUCCCUGCUGGCUUCCCCAUUGACUUUCUGGGAAAGCCAGCAGGUAAGGUUGCAUAUGGCGAUCAUGUGAACACAGGGCACUGCAACCGGUCAUAAGUGUAAACUGGUUGCCAAGUGCCCAGAUCAUGAUCACAUGUCUACGGGGGUGCUGGAGUGGCCAGAACUCCAAGGACCGAUUGUAACCACCAUUGGCUUAGUGCUGUCAUAACUUUGAACAAUCGCUGAACAAAUGGUCAUAGGUUGAAGGCUAUCUGUAAUAAUAAUAAUAAUAAUAAUAAUCAGUGCUCAGGCUGAUCACUUAAUCAGGGCUAUGCAGUGUUUCAGAUUUGGCGGGAAAAAACCCUUCAGAGAGAUUUAUGAAUGAACGAAUGACUUGGAGAAAAAAAGAUCCUUCAGAUAUAGAUAUAGAUACUCACACACAUAUAUCAUCUUUGUAAGAAUCUGACACUUUUAAUCCCAAUAAUAGUCCAACUCAUGCACAGGUAAAAUAUGCAGAUUUCAGAUUUAUUGAGAAGGUGUACAGACCAAGGGAAAAAGCUGCGAUUGAAGAUUCCCACCUAAACAUCCUAAUUAAAAUCAAGCAAUUACCCCACUCCCCACCCCCCACUCUUCCCGCCUAGUUCCAACUGCCAGGCAUGUCAAGCACAGAUGUCUUCUGAUGGUACGACCUUGACUUUCCCAACUAGCCCAAACAACAUACUUCCACACUGCUUGAUGUUUCCCCCUCUCCACUGGUUCUUGACACAUGGACUCAACAUGGCAGAUGAACAUGGUCAAACUAUUCAUCAAUCAUUUGAACAUGGAUUCUGACAAUCAUAUUUUUAUUUGUUUAAAAUAUUUAUAUACCAGUUGGCAGAUUCUUAACUGUCUUUUCCCAUGAAUGUGCUGCAGCUGUGGAGGGUAGCCAGGUGAUCCCAGGAAAAGAAAUAGCUCCUUUAAGGAGUUGCUGAUAAGUAACUGAUAAGUAGUUCCCUUUCUCCACGUGCACCAAAGCUCCCUUUCCCCUUUGAAUCCAAAGCAUGGCCCAGUCCUGAUGCUAAGAUCUUAAAAAGAUAAGUAAUAGAAGUUCACCAACUUUAAACAUUAUUGUGAUAGAAAAACAAAAGUUUAAUUUAUGUUGUAAAUUUACAUAGAGUUGGAUUUAUAUCGGCAGAUUGUACAUGGCCUCCAGUAAAAAUCUUGACAUACCUCAUUUGGUAUCAGAUGGUUUCUGAUCCAUCUUUAAAGUUUUGAGCCAGUCUGGUCUAGUGGUUAAGGUGCUGGGCUAGAAACCAGGAGUCUGUGAGUUCUAGUCCCACCUUAGGCAUGAAAGCCGGCUGGGUGACCUUGGGCCAGUCCCUCUCUCUCAGCCCAACUCACCACACAGGGUUGUUGUGGGGAAAAUAGGAGGAGGAAGAAAUAUUAGGUAUUUUAGCCACCUUGAGUUAUUCAUAAAAAUAAUAAAGGUGGGAUAAAAAUUAAAUAAAUAAAUAGAUGAGAAAGACAUAAUUAAUCAAGUCCAGUUAGAAUUUAUUAGGAAAGGUGUUAGCAAUCUAGUGAAGUUUUUUCUUUUGAAUUCUUGGCAACCACAUUUUUGGUUUUGCUUAUUUAAUGCUAAUUUACCUUACAGAGUUCCUUGUUUUAACUCUAAUAAUCUACUGUGUUUUUUUCUUUCAAAAUACUCAAGACUCAACUAUCUUUGUCCAUAAACCUUUUCACAAUAACUUUAAGGAGAGAAAAAGGGACACUUGUAAUGUUAAUAGAAGUGGUUUUGUAAACUUUGAAGUCUAGUAUAUCUGACUGAAUUGCGUUUUACUAGCUGAAUAUAAAAACACAUGUGUUGAAUGAAAUGUGUGAAAUUGGUCUAAAAGUAUAUAUUUUUGUAUUGCUGAAGCAAUAUUUUUUUCAAAUGUGUUUUUAAUCUUUUCAGCUUGCUGCUAAACUUUUGUGUGCCUGGCAGAAACAUUCAAAAUGUUUUUUAAAAAAUGCAAACAUAGGAUGAAGGGUUAUCUACGCUCAGUCUAUUUCUGGAUUAAAGGCAUAAAACAAAUUAUUUACUCCCAGCCUAUUUUGAGUCUACUGUUUGUACUGAUAUUAAAGAUAAAUUAAAUUGCUAAAGGUUAUUGACAAGUAAAUGGAAAGAUCUUAAUUUUUAAAGACAUCCUCAGUUCUUUUUUGCAUGGCAGAUUUCAAAAAUAGAAUGCAAAAUAUACUUGAAUGAUAAAGUCGUAUUAAUGCAUGUAGUAGUAGAUUUUCAUCACUGGCUAAUAUACACCUUUAAUUAGGAAAAAAAGCUUUUCUGUUAUAGCAAAAAUAAUAAUUGUUAGCAAUAUAUUUGAGAAUGAAGCAAAAAGUCUACACUUUAUAAAUAGUACAUGUAUUUUUUAAAUAAAUACUACAUGUUGAAGGCUAGGGGGCACUCUGUUUACAUAACUGAAAAUAAUUUAAUUUUCUUGUAUGUAUCGAUUUGUCAUCAGACCACUGAAAUCUAACAAAUGUCUUGCUAUGCAAAAUACUAUGCACAUUCCUACAAAGGACUCCUUUAAAAACUGUUUUUAUCUAAGCCAACGUAUUGCUCUCAGGGAUCCAUCAUUGUUUAUGAUCACGAUCACAAAAUCAUUAACGGAACUCAUACUAUUAUCUAAUAGCAAAGUCUACAACUUUCACCUGCAUUAUACCAUGUACAGUACUUUUCAUUAAUUAGUGAAAGAAGUUAAUGAAAGAAGUUCAGGACAGAAAAACAAUUUGGUGAAUAAUAGAAAAACAUUUCAUCCUGGAAAGAGCCUACAACUACUUUCCUUUUUGAAAAAUAAAAGUUUUCCAAUUAAUUUUAACAGUUUUAUUGUUCACAGUCUCCAGAUUACCACAAACCUGUCUUUCUAUCUUACCAGCUGCUUCCAAUAUUUUAUUCCUUUUUCCUGCUUUUUCCAUAUAAUCCAUAUGGAAACUUUUUCCAUAUUUUUGGAUGUUCAUAUUAAAAUCUUAGUUUUGGAGCUGCACAGAAUGGUUACCAGCAUGCAGGUUGAUGCAGUUGUUGAAUUAAAAAGAAGGAAAACAAAAUGUGCAUGUUCAUGUUUUGAGGGGAAAUGACACAAAUUUAACAGUCAAGAGAAUUGCUGUCUAAUCUGCAAGAUUAUAUGGAUAGUCCAUAUGUUUUCUGACUAAAUUUACCACAGGGUGCUUUCUUGCUUGUUUGCAAUAGAUUAAGAUGGUUACCUCUCUUCUGAUUAAAAAGAUUUCCUUGUACCCUUACAGUUCUCUUUAGCGUUCUGUGUUUUCAUUCCACCUAACCGUAAGAAAACUCCAUAGUUGUCAACAUUUGGCAAUAAAGAUUAGUUACUUAUGUUGUAAUACCCUUUAAAUAUUUUUUUGAUUUUAAUGUAAAAAUCUAAGUGUAUGUUAUAAAAUUUUUCUACUUGUUAACAUAUUGUACGAUUUCUUUCCUUCUUUCUAUUUUAUCUAGUACAGUAAUGCUUUCAACAUCCAACUUAACAGAACUGUGGCAUACUUAGAACAUAAAGUUGAAAUAUAAACUGCAAUCUGAGAGAUUAAAUAUUUAAUUAAAAUCUCAGAGAGAAA